AUUCAUCUAUUAAAAAUUUGCCUCGGCAUAAUUUUUUUUGAUGAUCUUGUUACUUUGAGUAAAUUAGAGUGUUCAAAGCAAACAGAUAUAGCAUUUGUGCGUUUGAAUACUACAGCAUGGAAUAACAAAAUUGAACAAGUCAGAAUUUUUUUGUUCUUUUUUCUUAUUUUGGCUUAGUUACGAUUAAUAGGAGUAGCUUGGGGGCAUUUGUAUUCAGAUGUCAGAGGUGAAAUUCUUAGAU
Molecule: ribosomal RNA, 241 nt
Filed under: Plasmodium knowlesi
Lineage: Eukaryota; Apicomplexa; Aconoidasida; Haemosporida; Plasmodiidae
Description: partial 18S ribosomal RNA
Rfam family: Eukaryotic small subunit ribosomal RNA (bases 50-241)
Source: RNAcentral